GUGGGGAAUCUUGCGCAAUGGGCGAAAGCCUGACGCAGCCAUGCCGCGUGAAUGAUGAAGGUCUUAGGAUUGUAAAAUUCUUUCACCGGGGACGAUAAUGACGGUACCCGGAGAAGAAGCCCCGGCUAACUUCGUGCCAGCAGCCGCGGUAAUACGAAGGGGGCUAGCGUUGCUCGGAAUUACUGGGCGUAAAGGGCGCGUAGGCGGAUCGUUAAGUCAGGGGUGAAAUCCCAGAGCUCAACUCUGGAACUGCCCUUGAUACUGGAGAUCUUGAGUGUGAGAGAGGUAUGUGGAACUCCGAGUGUAGAGGUGAAAUUCGUAGAUAUUCGGAAGAACACCAGUGGCGAAGGCGACAUACUGGCUCAUUACUGACGCUGAGGCGCGAAAGCGUGGGGAGCAAACAGGAUUAGAAACCCGUGUAGUCC
This 425-nucleotide ribosomal RNA is filed under the name uncultured bacterium. Its description in RNAcentral is "partial 16S ribosomal RNA". It matches the Rfam family "Bacterial small subunit ribosomal RNA", at positions 354 to 796 of the family's 1533-position model. The record is from RNAcentral.